UACGCAGGUGGCAAGCGUUGUCCGGAAUUAUUGGGCGUAAAGCGCGCGCAGGUGGCUUCUUAAGUCUGAUGUGAAAGCCCACGGCUCAACCGUGGAGGGUCAUUGGAAACUGGGGAACUUGAGUGCAGGAGAGAAGAGUGGAAUUCCACGUGUAGCGGUGAAAUGCGUAGAGAUGUGGAGGAACACCGAUGGCGAAGGCAGCCCCCUGGGCUGACACUGACGCUCAGGCACGAAAGCGUGGGGAGCAAACAGG
This 253-nucleotide ribosomal RNA is filed under the name uncultured bacterium. Its description in RNAcentral is "partial 16S ribosomal RNA". It matches the Rfam family "Bacterial small subunit ribosomal RNA", at positions 524 to 776 of the family's 1533-position model. The record is from RNAcentral.